This 439-nucleotide ribosomal RNA is filed under the name uncultured bacterium. Its description in RNAcentral is "partial 16S ribosomal RNA". It matches the Rfam family "Bacterial small subunit ribosomal RNA", at positions 339 to 795 of the family's 1533-position model. The record is from RNAcentral.
CUACGGGAGGCUGCAGUGGGGAAUCUUAGACAAUGGGCGCAAGCCUGAUCUAGCCAUGCCGCGUGAGCGAUGAAGGCCUUAGGGUUGUAAAGCUCUUUCAGCGAGGAAGAUAAUGACUGUACUCGCAGAAGAAGCCCCGGCUAACUCCGUGCCAGCAGCCGCGGUAAUACGGAGGGGGCUAGCGUUGUUCGGAAUUACUGGGCGUAAAGCGCACGUAGGCGGAUCAGAAAGUCAGAGGUGAAAUCCCAGGGCUCAACCUUGGAACUGCCUUUGAAACUCCUGAUCUUGAGUUCGAGAGAGGUGAGUGGAAUUCCGAGUGUAGAGGUGAAAUUCGUAGAUAUUCGGAGGAACACCAGUGGCGAAGGCGGCUCACUGGCUCGAUACUGACGCUGAGGUGCGAAAGCGUGGGGAGCAAACAGGAUUAGAUACCCGCGUAGUC